This 72-nucleotide transfer RNA is filed under the name Pangasianodon gigas (Mekong giant catfish). Its description in RNAcentral is "tRNA-Glu". It matches the Rfam family "tRNA". From Rfam's summary of the family: Transfer RNA (tRNA) molecules are approximately 80 nucleotides in length. Their secondary structure includes four short double-helical elements and three loops (D, anti-codon, and T loops). The record is from RNAcentral. Lineage: Eukaryota; Metazoa; Chordata; Actinopteri; Siluriformes; Pangasiidae.
UCCCUGGAGGACUAGUGGUUAGGCUACAGCGCUCUCACCACUGCGGCCCGGGUUCGGUUCCCGGCCAGGGGG